Molecule: ribosomal RNA, 492 nt
Filed under: uncultured bacterium
Lineage: Bacteria
Description: partial 16S ribosomal RNA
Rfam family: Bacterial small subunit ribosomal RNA
Source: RNAcentral
AGUGAACGCUGGCGGUAGGCCUAACACAUGCAAGUCGAACGGCAGCACAGUAAGAGCUUGCUCUUACGGGUGGCGAGUGGCGGACGGGUGAGGAAUACAUCGGAAUCUACUUUUUCGGGGGGGAUAACGUAGGGAAACUUACGCUAAUACCGCAUACGACCUCCGGGUGAAAGCAGGGGAUCUUCGGACCUUGCGCGAUUGAAUGAGCCGAUGUCGGAUUAGCUAGUUGGCGGGGUAAAGGCCCACCAAGGCGACGAUCCGUAGCUGGUCUGAGAGGAUGAUCACCCGCACUGGAACUGGGACACGGUCCAGACUCCUACGGGAGGCAGCAGUGGGGAAUAGUGGACAAUGGGCGCAAGCCUGAUCCAGCCAUACCGCGUGGGUGAAGAAGGCCUUCGGGUUGUAAAGCCCUUUUGUUGGGAAAGAAAAGCAGCAGGUUAAUACCCCGCUGUUCUGACGGUACCCAAAGAAUAAGCACCGGCUAACUUCGUG